GGGGCUAUAGCUCAGCUGGGAGAGCGCGUGACUGGCAGUCACGAGGUCGCCGGUUCGAUCCCGGCUAGCUCCA
This 73-nucleotide transfer RNA is filed under the name Solirubrobacter pauli. It matches the Rfam family "tRNA". Rfam says of the family: Transfer RNA (tRNA) molecules are approximately 80 nucleotides in length. The record is from Rfam by way of RNAcentral. Lineage: Bacteria; Bacillati; Actinomycetota; Thermoleophilia; Solirubrobacterales; Solirubrobacteraceae.